RNAcentral lists this ribosomal RNA (253 nucleotides) under uncultured bacterium. Its description in RNAcentral is "partial 16S ribosomal RNA". It matches the Rfam family "Bacterial small subunit ribosomal RNA", at positions 524 to 776 of the family's 1533-position model. The record is from RNAcentral.
UACGUAGGUGGCAAGCGUUGUCCGGAUUUACUGGGCGUAAAGAGCGCGCAGGCGGUCGGAUUAGUCGCGUGUGAAAGCCCCCGGCUCAACUGGGGAGGGUCACGCGAUACUGUUCGACUCGAAGGCAGGAGAGGGAAGUGGAAUUCCCGGUGUAGUGGUGAAAUGCGUAGAUAUCGGGAGGAACACCAGUGGCGAAGGCGACUUCCUGGCCUGUUCUUGACGCUGAGACGCGAAAGCUAGGGUAGCAAACGGG